RNAcentral lists this ribosomal RNA (161 nucleotides) under Hordeum jubatum. Its description in RNAcentral is "5.8S ribosomal RNA". It matches the Rfam family "5.8S ribosomal RNA". From Rfam's summary of the family: 5.8S ribosomal RNA (5.8S rRNA) is a component of the large subunit of the eukaryotic ribosome. It is transcribed by RNA polymerase I as part of the 45S precursor that also contains 18S and 28S rRNA. Functionally, it is thought that 5.8S rRNA may be involved in ribosome translocation. Lineage: Eukaryota; Viridiplantae; Streptophyta; Magnoliopsida; Poales; Poaceae. The record is from RNAcentral. RNAcentral also lists the same sequence under 1 other name.
ACGACUCUCGGCAACGGAUAUCUCGGCUCUCGCAUCGAUGAAGAACGUAGCGAAAUGCGAUACCUGGUGUGAAUUGCAGAAUCCCGCGAACCAUCGAGUCUUUGAACGCAAGUUGCGCCCGAGGCCACUCGGCCGAGGGCACGCCUGCUUGGGCGUCACGC